AACGAACGCUGGCGGCAGGCCUAACACAUGCAAGUCGAGCGCCCCGCCAGGGGAGCGGCGGACGGGUGAGUAACGCGUGGGAAUAUGCCCUUUGCUACGGAAUAGUCUCGGGAAACUGGGGGUAAUACCGUAUACGGCCUUUGGGGGAAAGAUUUAUCGGCGAAGGAUUAGCCCGCGUUGGAUUAGGUAGUUGGUGGGGUAAUGGCCUACCAUGCCGACGAUCCAUAGCUGGUUUGAGAGGCUGAUCAGCCACACUGGGACUGGGACACGGCCCAGACUCCUACGGGGGGCAGCAGUGGGGAAUCUUAGACAAUGGGGGCAACCCUGAUCUAGCCAUGCCGCGUGAGUGAUGAAGGCCUUAGGGUUGUAAAGCUCUUUCAGCUGGGAAGAUAAUGACGGUACCAGCAGAAGAAGCCCCGGCUAACUCCGUG
This 431-nucleotide ribosomal RNA is filed under the name uncultured bacterium. RNAcentral describes it as "partial 16S ribosomal RNA". It matches the Rfam family "Bacterial small subunit ribosomal RNA", at positions 29 to 507 of the family's 1533-position model. The record is from RNAcentral.